CGCCUUCAUGAAGCUGGAAUUGCUAGUAAUGGCAGGUCAGCAUACUGCCGUGAAUACGUUCCCGGGCCUUGUACACACCGCCCGUCACACCAUGAGAGUUGGAAAUACCCGAAGCCUGUGAGCUAACAGUAAUGAGGCAGCAGUCGAAGGUAGAGCCAAUGAUUGGGGUGAAGUCGUAACAAGGUAGC
RNAcentral lists this ribosomal RNA (188 nucleotides) under uncultured bacterium. RNAcentral's name for it is "partial 16S ribosomal RNA". It matches the Rfam family "Bacterial small subunit ribosomal RNA", at positions 1313 to 1500 of the family's 1533-position model. The record is from RNAcentral.